AAUUACAUCGAUUUUAUAUGAUAGCUCACACAAUUAUUUGCAAUGUCCCUCGCAUCUUUUUUGCCUUUCUUAUAUUGUAUUUUAUUUCUUUAUAAAUUUUUAUUUUUAAAAAUUGAUCUCACUGAACUAAAGAGCUGAAUCCGUGCCUGUUCCCUCUGCGGCUCCGCAUCCACCCUCGCCGUCAGCUAUGGCCCCACCACCAUCUGCGGUAUUGUCGCCGAGCAACAAACACAGAGAAUCCAUCAUAUUAUUCUCUGGAAAUGACGGUUUGAAAGCCAAUCCAAUUACCGUUGAGAUGAUUAAUUACGCUCUUUCUCUUGCAAGAUCAACAUAACAGGAAGGCUGAAGCGGAGAGGAUGAAAAAGUGGGCAGAGACUGUAUGGGUCAAUUGUCAUCUGUCGCUAGCUAAGGCACUAAAUAUAUAUGAGUUUCUGAGAAUUUAAUGUUUCUUACUACUAGCAGAGAUCCCGGCAAUCUGUACUAUCUACUUGUUGUAUGUUUUGUUGGAAUAAACUUUGAGAAAAUAAACCACGAAUGAGUUUUCUGUUUUUUUUCUAGUGUGCUAUGUCAAAUUGGUUACAGACUUGAUGGUAAGUUGAGUUGGAGGGGGACUGCAGAAUUCAACUGCUUAAGGUGAUGACUUGCUGCACAACCGCUUUUUAAUGAA
This 667-nucleotide long non-coding RNA is filed under the name Panax ginseng (ginseng). RNAcentral's name for it is "long non-coding RNA (PGIN_LNC011636)". The record is from RNAcentral. Lineage: Eukaryota; Viridiplantae; Streptophyta; Magnoliopsida; Apiales; Araliaceae.